AACAGAACAGAGCAGAGGAAACCCCCAAACCCCAGCGGCGGCCAUGUCUCCCCUCCUCCUCCUGCUCGUGGCCGUGGCCGCCGCGCCGACGCUCGCCUCCGCGGCGUCGCCUCUGCACGGCGUGGCGAACGACGUGCUGUCGGAGUACGGCCUCCCCAAGGGCCUGAUCCCGGACUCCGUCACCUCCUACACCUUCGACAACGCCACGGGCGACUUCCAGAUCCAGCUCGCGGGCACCUGCUACGUCUGGUUCGGCGACCACUACGUCUACUACGAGCAGACCAUCAGCGGCACCAUCUCCUACGGCGCCAUCUCCAACCUCUCCGGGAUCCAGGCCAAGAAGUUCUUCAUCUGGGUCUACGUCUCCGGCAUGGUCGCGCACCCGGAGAAAGGCACCAUCGAGUUCCGGGCUGGCCCCAUCUCCGAGGACGUGCCCAUGUCGCUCUUCGCGGCCGUGCCCGUCUGCGGCAACGGCAUCGGCGCCGGCUCGCAGCUCCGCGGCGCGGCCGGGGUGAUCCGGGACCUUGGCCUGCUUCCCGUUGCCGAGGUGUGAGUGACUUCAAAUAUGAACUGUUUUCAAGUCUGUUGCUGAAAAUUGGUAAAGAAAUUUGCACGUUUCCUAUUGAGAAUGAGAGGGGACAAAGGGAGAAACACGGUGCCGUGAUGAUGUAUUAAUGUGGAUGAAGUUCAAUAAAUAUAAUACAGUAAGAGUUUUGAAUAGAUGGAAACAUAUCUUUCCUUACGACAACAAUUUGAUCACAAAUUACUACAGUAUGUUCAAAAUGUGGCAUAUAUGACAUGAAAGUAUAAGUAUCAUGAAGUAUUUUUGAUAGUGAAUCUAGCGAUACUAAUUUCGUGUCACAUAAUACUUUGUGAUCAAAAUCUUGUUUUAAUGAAAACUAAUAUGACAACUUUUUUUAAGAAUUGAAAGGGAGUACUCAGGAACAAGAUUACAUUUAUCUAAGACAAGUUUUGUGACACAAACGCACAAUCCAGUGAACGGCGCAGUGAAACACACGGCGCACCUUGCGGUCAUGGCAUAAUUAGCUAAUACACGUGCAAAAACCAAUCGUGAUGAUUCUCUGAUACCAAUUCUUAACUUCAGCCAAUAAGUGAGCAAGCACCGAUCAAUCUUCGGUGGUGCCUUGAAUGCGGCCUUUAGUGGGUCCAUGGUCCCAGUCUGGCUCCGGUGAGUCGGCCAUGAAUCGGUGAAGUAAGGUGUCACAUUAUUGAUGGUGAUAGGUUAGUGAAUUUUACAGCCCAUUUGGCAUCCAUCAUCAUUUGUAUCUAGAAUUCUGAAAUUCAUUUUCUAUUCCAGAAACCAACUUGUUUGUGGCAUGGAAUUGGCCAUAAAAAUUCAAUCUCAAUUUUUAUGGAAUCACAUUAUAACUAACCACGAUUUCUCUCUAAAAGUUAUCAUUUCUCUAGAUUAUCUCUCAUUCUACAAAUCCAUGUGGUAGACAAACAUGAUUUUUUAACCCGGAAUUCAAAUUCAACCAAAUAAAAUCCUAUCAAAAAAUGGAUUUCAUUUCAUUUCUACCAAAUGAAAUGAAAGAACGGAUGCCAAACGAGCUGUUAGGAGUUUUGAUGUUGCAAUGUUCCUUCGACAUCUCUGUAAAUGUAUCAACGAGAUCUUAGUAAACAACCACAGAAGAUCUUCUUAAGAAGACACACAGUGCACCUCUUUAAUUCAAAAGAUUUUCAAAUGAUGCUAAAAGAUUUUGGACAUGACAACUUGACUCGUAGGAUUGAAAAUCAUGGAAAAAUUCUCCGAGGCAAAUUCCACUGGAUUUUAUAAGGAAUUUUCCAACCAUGCCAACACGUUUGAUUUUUUUUCUAUACUAGCUAAAUACACAUGAGUACCCCACGAAAUUAUUAUUAUUUUGCAUAAUUGUAUAAAUGCACUUUUGUUCAUAUGUUUUGAAAUUUUGUACUCAGUAACAACUAUCUCAGAAUAUACAUCAAUUGAGUCAAUUGUAGUAAAAAGAUCGUGUGUAUAUCUAGCAUAUUGAAUGUGUAUAAUUAUAUUCAUUCUCUAACAAUAUAGAAAACAUUUUUAAUGGAGUGAACAGACGACCACCAACUGAAAUCUUUGUAGGAAGAAAAAGAUAUUUCUUCUUGCAUCAUUUUAGUUCUAAUAAGUAUGUUCAAUAUGAUGACAUUAUGAUCUAAUUGUUGAAAACCAAAGCUGUACCAAAAGCACAAGGACAAAAUUAAGAUUUGAGGGAACAAGGAAAAAUUCCUCACAACAAAAACACAUAAAUCUUUGAGUUUUACUGCUUUGUAGAUUUCCGCUGGACGGAUUUGAUAAUUUGCCCUGUCUCACUUUCAGUUACACGUGUCUCCAUACCCCACAUGCAAGUGACACAAGACAAGUCAAAUCAUCAAAGUGCAAAGUGAGUAGAACAAAUUAUCAAAUUUGUCAACUAUACAAAUGUGCAACUAUAAAUCAAUUUGACAGGCGUCGGGACUUGCAAUAGGGGCUCAAAGAUCAAUUUGUCCUUAUACUCCCUCCGUUCCAAAACACAACUCAUAUAGAUUUGUGUACUUGGACCAAGGCAGCUCUCGUUUCUAGUGUCUGACCACUCAUAUUGGAUUAAUAGUAAAUGGAUGUGACUAGUUAUUGGUCGGGUGCGGGUUUCAAGAAAAAAAUGAGGUGUGUUUUGGAACAAAUGAGAAAAAUCUAUAUGAUUUGUGUUUUGAAAUGGAGGGAGUAUUUCUAAUGUCUUGCAUUAGUGUUUGUCUUGUAUUUUUUUUAUGAGAAAAACUAACUAGGGCAGCUUAAUUAUGUGCAGUUUGAUUUUCUCCUAAAAAUAAGAAGCUGCUGGCUGCUGCCCCUAGUUAGUUUUAAAACAAGAUGUUGUCCCUAAUUAAUUCUGUUACCAGUGUCCCCAAUCAAGAUCCCCACGCAAAGCAGAGCGAAAAUCCCAAACCCCAACGACCAUGUCACCCCUGACCCUCCUCCUCGUCGCCGUUGCCGUGGCCGCGGCGCCGCUCGCCUCCGCGGCCGGUGGCGCCUCGGCAAACGGCGCAGCUAACGACCUCCUCCCGAAGUACGGCCUCCCGAAGGGCCUCAUCCCGGACUCCGUCGCCUCCUACUCCUUCGACGAGACCACCGGCGACUUCGAGAUCCGCCUCGCCGGCACCUGCUACGUCUGGUUCGGCGACCACCUCGUGUACUACGAGAAGACCAUCCGUGGCUGCCUAUCAUCAGGGAAAAUCACCAGUCUCUCAGGCAUCCAGGCCAAGAAGCUCUUCCUCUGGGUCUCC
Molecule: long non-coding RNA, 3270 nt
Filed under: Brachypodium distachyon (stiff brome)
Lineage: Eukaryota; Viridiplantae; Streptophyta; Magnoliopsida; Poales; Poaceae
Description: long non-coding RNA (BDIS_LNC000132)
Source: RNAcentral